ACAAUAAGCAAAAUAAGGGCGUAUGGGGGAUGCCUAGGCUCUCAGAGGCGAAGAAGGACGUGAUAAGCUGCGAAAAGCUGCGGGGAUUGGCACAUACGAAUUGAUCCGCAGAUAUCCCAAUGGGGCAACCCACUAUGUUGAAGACAUAGUAUCCAAUAGGAGGCGAACCCGCUGAACUGAAACAUCUAAGUAGGCGGAGGAGAAGAAAACAAAAGUGAUUGCGUAAGUAGUGGCGAGCGAAAGCGCAUUAGCCCAAACCAGUGUUGUUACGGCAAUACUGGGGUUGUAGGACCACAAUAUUUCUUGUAAACCGAAUUAGAAUAACCUGGAAAGGUUAACCACAGAGGGUGAUAGUCCCGUAUAAGUAAGGAAUAUAAAGGAUAGUGGUAUCCUGAGUAGGGCGGGGCACGUGAAACCCUGUCUGAAUCUGGCGGGACCAUCCGCUAAGGCUAAAUACUCCUGAGAGACCGAUAGUGAACCAGUACUGUGAAGGAAAGGUGAAAAGAACCGUGAAUAACGGAGUGAAAUAGAACCUGAAACCAUACGCCUACAAGCGGUCGGAGCAGCAAAAGCUGUGACGGCGUGCCUUUUGCAUAAUGAGCCUACGAGUUAACGUUGCUGGCAAGGUUAAGCACUUCAGGUGCGGAUCCGUAGCGAAAGCGAGUCUGAAUAGGGCGCUUGAGUCAGUAAUGUUAGACGCGAAACCGUGUGAUCUACCCAUGGGCAGGAUGAAGCUGUGGUAACACAUAGUGGAGGUCCGAACCGGUUGACGUUGAAAAGUCUUCGGAUGACCUGUGGGUAGGGAUGAAAGGCCAAUCAAACUCGGAAAUAGCUCGUACUCCCCGAAAUGCAUUUAGGUGCAGCGCAGUGGUAGAGUUAUAUAGAGGUAGAGCUACUGAUUGGAUGCGGGGGCUUCACCGCCUACCAAUUCCUGACAAACUCCGAAUGCUAUAUAAUAUACACAGCAGUGAGGGCUGGGGUGCUAAGGUCCCAGUCCGAGAGGGAAAGAACCCAGACCAUCAGCUAAGGUCCCCAAAUGUAUACUAAGUUGAUCAAACGCGGUUUGAUUGCAUCGACAGCUAGGAUGUUGGCUUGGAAGCAGCCAUUCAUUUAAAGAGUGCGUAACAGCUCACUAGUCGAGCGAUCGAGCAUGGAUAAUAAUCGGGCAUAAGUAUACUACCGAAGCUAUGGAUUUGACAAAAGUCAAGUGGUAGGGGAGCAUUCUAACAUCGUAGAAGGGAUUCCGUGAGGAUUUCUGGAGAGGUUAGAAAAGAAAAUGUAGGCAUAAGUAACGAUAAGGGGUGCGAGAAACACCCCCGCCGUAAAACUAAGGUUUCCGCAGCUAUGCUAAUCAGCUGCGGKUUAGUCGGGACCUAAGGCGAAUCCGAAAGGAACAGUCGAUGKCMRAYGKGKAUAAKAKWCMSGUACUACUUAUAAUUGUGAUGGAGUGACGCAGUGGUGAAAGUACCGCGAACUGACGGAAUAGUUCGUUAAAGCACCUAGCUGGAUAGUGUACCUAAAGGCUGCCAAGAAAACCUUCUAAACAUAGAUUAUAAGUACCCGUACCGUAAACCGACACAGGUAGUUGAGGAGAGUAUCCUAAGGCGCUCGAGAGAUUCAUGGCUAAGGAAUUAGGCAAAAUAGACCUGACUUCGGGAGAAAGGUCGCCAGCGCAAGCUGGCCGCAGUGAAAAGGUCCAGGCGACUGUUUAUCAAAAACACAGGGCUCUGCCAAAUCGUAAGAUGAAGUAUAGGGCCUGACACGGUGCUGGAAGGUUAAGAGGAGAUGUUAUGAGCAAUCAGAAGCAUUGAAUUGAAGCCCCAGUAAACGGCGGCCGUAACUAUAACGGUCCUAAGGUAGCGAAAUUCCUUGUCGGGUAAGUUCCGACCUGCACGAAUGGUGUAACGAUCUGGACACUGUCUCAGCCAUGAGCUCGGUGAAAUUGUAGUAUCGGUGAAGAUGCCGAUUACCCGCAGUGGGACGAAAAGACCCUGUGCACCUUUACUAUAGCUUAGUAUUGACCUUGGAUAAGUGAUGUGUAGGAUAGGUGGGAGACUGUGAAAUGGCGUCGCUAGGCGUUGUGGAGUCAUUGUUGAAAUACCACCCUUUGCUUAUCUGAGGCCUAACUCCAUAUUGUGGAGGACAUUGCUUGGUGGGUAGUUUGACUGGGGUGGUCGCCUCCAAAAGAGUAACGGAGGCUUCUAAAGGUUCCCUCAGCACGCUUGGUAACCGUGCGUAGAGUGCAAUGGCAUAAGGGAGCUUGACUGAGAGACAUACAGGUCGAUCAGGUACGAAAGUAGAGCAUAGUGAUCCGGUGGUUCCGCAUGGAAGGGCCAUCGCUCAAAGGAUAAAAGGUACGCCGGGGAUAACAGGCUGAUCUCCCCCAAGAGCUCAUAUCGACGGGGGGGUUUGGCACCUCGAUGUCGGCUCGUCACAUCCUGGGGCUGGAGAAGGUCCCAAGGGUUGGGCUGUUCGCCCAUUAAAGUGGCACGCGAGCUGGGUUCAGAACGUCGUGAGACAGUUCGGUCUCUAUCUACUGUGGGCGUUAGAAAUUUGAGUGGAUCUGACUCUAGUACGAGAGGACCGAGUUGGACCAACCGCUGGUGUAUCUGUUGUUCCGCCAGGAGCACCGCAGAGUAGCUACGUUGGGAAGGGAUAAGCGCUGAAAGCAUAUAAGCGCGAAACCCACCACAAGAUGAGAUUUCUUUUAAGGGUCGUGGAAGAUGACCACGUUGAUAGGCUAUAGAUGUAAAGGCAGUAAUGUCACAGUCAAGUAGUACUAAUAACCCGUAAGCUUAUUGUA
RNAcentral lists this ribosomal RNA (2803 nucleotides) under Flavobacterium columnare. RNAcentral's name for it is "23S ribosomal RNA". The record is from RNAcentral. Lineage: Bacteria; Pseudomonadati; Bacteroidota; Flavobacteriia; Flavobacteriales; Flavobacteriaceae.